UACAGAGGGAGCUAGCGUUGUUCGGAAUUACUGGGCGUAAAGCGCGCGUAGGCGGCUUUGUAAGUUAGAGGUGAAAGCCCGGGGCUCAACCCCGGAAUUGCCUUUAAGACUGCAUCGCUUGAAUCCGGGAGAGGUGAGUGGAAUUCCGAGUGUAGAGGUGAAAUUCGUAGAUAUUCGGAAGAACACCAGUGGCGAAGGCGGCUCACUGGACCGGCAUUGACGCUGAGGUGCGAAAGCGUGGGGAGCAAACAGG
Molecule: ribosomal RNA, 253 nt
Filed under: uncultured bacterium
Lineage: Bacteria
Description: partial 16S ribosomal RNA
Rfam family: Bacterial small subunit ribosomal RNA
Source: RNAcentral